UCCGUCCCUUUGGGGCUCACAACCCCCACGCUGGGGGGGCCACGAUUCAGCCGCGCCGCGGGGUCCGGGCGGGGCUCGCAACCAGCGCACGCGGGCCCCCAGAUUCCGCUGGAUCUGAGCGCCCGGAGGCGGGGGUGGGCCUCCUCUUUGUGCCGACGAAGGGGCGGGGCCUCGCGGAGCUGGACCAAUCCGAGGCGGCCGCAGCCCUGGGAAGCCAAUGGCGGGGCUGUGGGCGGGGAGAGGGAGCCGGAGCGCCGAGCCGCGGCGGAGAGAGGGGCCCUGGAUCCGGCAGUGGGGGUCGGAGGCUUCUACAUAGGUCUGAGGGAGGCUUCCGGAGGGGCCCUACUCCAGAACAAUCCAGCCCCGCCCAGCUUGGCGCAGCAGGAGCGUCUGCAGCGCCACCUGGCGGCCGUCAGGAGCUCCGCAGCCCAAUCCGGAGGUGGGGGUAGCGCAGGGUCCCUGAGGGCGGCAGUCUUGGGUGGGGUCCUUUCCUCUCUCGCCCUAGGAGGAAGCAGGCUGUAUCUUUUGUCUUCCUAGUCGUGGACAGCUUCCCUAAGGGGGCACAUUGGAGCUUUGGAGCCGAGCCGUGCAGAACAUUUAUUUAUUCGCCUUCUCAGUCCAGCCGUCCCGGGGUGCAAGUGCCAGAGCGUGGUCUUGCCCGUAAUUAGGUGAAUUAGGUCGACAUCGCGUCGCUUGCCUCUAACUCCAGCAAGCCUCGUUUUUGGGGUCCUUAUACCCAUUUUAUUCAUUGGGAAACUGAGGCUCAAUUCUUGGAAUAUUGGUGCCGCCGUUCUAAUCCACUCAAGCCUGCCCCAGCCUAGGUGGGUGUGGGCGUUGCGCGCGUGCAUACAUACACACACGCGCGCGCGCGCGCACACACACACACACACGCCCAGUGUGCCACCAGGUAAUUUAUGAUCAUCCUUGAAGGCCUAUUUAUUGAACAAUUCCUUUUAUGCAGAGGAAGAGUUCGUCUCUGAGAGAGCCUGAGCCGGCAGAGUCACGCAGGGAAUCCAGACCCAGCCGACUCUGUUCGCCCAGCCCCCUUCCAAAGGCCACCCGGGAUUGGAAAUAGAGCCAGCCGCCACCCCACGCCAUUUCCUUCCAGGCUGCCCCACCGACAGCCGAGGCCAGGCUCUGGGAUGGAGGUUCCAGGAGUGUGGGAACGAGUCUUGCCCCCACUCCCUGAUUGCCUCCCCCCCCCCCCCCCCCCCCGCCUCCCCAGAUCAGGUUUCCACCUCCCUAUUUCUUCCCUCAGUCCUCAGGCUAUAUUCCCACCGCUAACGGGCUGGGCCGCGGGUGGGUGGAGAACUGAGACAGUGGGCUUCGAGGGCCUAGAGAGUUUGGGGGUGGGGCCUCUGCGAGGGCAACGCCCCCUCCCCAGCCCCUUUGGAGCAUCCCUCCCACCCUCCCCCAGCUCGCGGGAAUUCCGCUGAGUCACUUCCGAGGCUGCCUCUGCAGCCCCAGGGGGAACAGUGCCGUUCGAUUCCCUAGGCAGCGGCCCAGCGCUCACCUGGGAGACCCGACUACUGUCUUGUCUCAACGGCUCUUCUUGCCUAGCGAAGCCAACCCCACCUCAUCCCCUGCCGUUCUCCCGCAGCCACCCUGGUGGCCGUGCAAGCCGCUACCUCAGGGCCUUUGCACUGGCUUGUGUCCUCUCACUGGCACACCCCUCCCUGCGCACCUGUAGCCUGUACAUACUUCCCACGGCCACUGCCAAGGCCUCUGCUCCAGUGGGGAUGUGUCAGAUGCGAGCAAGGGGGCACCUGCCACCGUGACCCGCAGAUGCUUGGGUGGCCAGUUAGAUUGGAAAAGAUGCAGACUGCAAACCGGGAGCUCCACGUGCUGCGUGGUGCAAGUGACAGGUGCGUGCGCCCGGUCUGCGUGACCGUGUGUGCCUCAGUGCGAGGCUGCAGGUGCGUAGCGGGAGCACAGGCGCGCGCUGAGCGCGCACCCCACGAAUUCCCCGCCAGCCCAGAUGCCCAUCUUGGAGCUAUUGUCUCCCGGCUCCAAGCCCACCUUUCACAGCGAGGCUCUGGCUGGGGCUCUGAAAACUACAAUUCCCAGAAUCCUUGUCGCCCCCGGAAUUCCUGCUAGGUUCGGCCAGUAGGAGGCGUCAGGGCUCUUAACCUUUCCCGUGCCGGGAACCUUGUGGUCGCCUGUGGCACCUAAGGAUACGUACGGUCCUCUUCUCAGAAAUACGCUUUUUACAAAACGUUUAAGCCUUUAACUUGUGUUUUUACUGCAUCCUGCAUUUUAAAAUUUGUGGCAAAGUAACAUAACUUACCCAUCGCAAACAAUUUUAACUUUAGAGUUUAGUAGUAAGUACAUUAAUUCUGUUGUGAAACAGCACCCCAGAACUUUCGCCUCUUGCAAAUCGGAAACCCUACACGCAUUAAAUUCCCUUUCUCCCCAAUGCCCCUGGUAACCACCCUUGUGCUUUCUGUUUCUGAGUAUGACUCCUUUAGAUACCUCGUAUAACUGCAAUCAUACAGUAUUUGUUUUUUGGCGGCUGGCUGAGGCACUCAGCGUAAUGUGCUCAAGGUUCACGCAUGUUGUAGCAGAGUGAAAGUUUCCUUCUCGUCCUUUUAAAAUUGGAAUUAUAGGGGCGCCCGGCUGGUUCAGGCAGUGGAGCAAGCGACUCUUGAUCUUGGGGUUACGGGUUCUAGCCCUACACUGGGUGUAGAGAUUACCUUAAAAAUAAAAUCUUUAAAAAUAAAUAGAUAAAAG
Leopardus geoffroyi (Geoffroy's cat) is the source of this 2730-nucleotide long non-coding RNA. RefSeq lists it as uncharacterized. The record is from RefSeq and is a predicted model, not a curated record. Lineage: Eukaryota; Metazoa; Chordata; Mammalia; Carnivora; Felidae. The transcript has 2 exons.